RNAcentral lists this ribosomal RNA (492 nucleotides) under uncultured bacterium. RNAcentral's name for it is "partial 16S ribosomal RNA". It matches the Rfam family "Bacterial small subunit ribosomal RNA", at positions 29 to 507 of the family's 1533-position model. The record is from RNAcentral.
AGUGAACGCUGGCGGUAGGCCUAACACAUGCAAGUCGAACGGCAGCACAGUAAGAGCUUGCUCUUACGGGUGGCGAGUGGCGGACGGGUGAGGAAUACAUCGGAAUCUACUUUUUCGUGGGGGAUAACGUAGGGAAACUUACGCUAAUACCGCAUACGACCUACGGGUGAAAGCAGGGGAUCUUCGGUCCUUGCGCGAUUGAAUGAGCCGAUGUCGGAUUAGCUAGUUGGCGGGGUAAAGGCCCACCAAGGCGACGAUCCGUAGCUGGUCUGAGAGGAUGAUCAGCCACACUGGAACUGAGACACGGUCCAGACUCCUACGGGAGGCAGCAGUGGGGAAUAUUGGACAAUGGGCGCAAGCCUGAUCUAGCCAUACCGCGUGGGUGAAGAAGGCCUUCGGGUUGUAAAGCCCUUUUGUUGGGAAAGAAAAGCAGCAGGUUAAUACCCCGCUGUUCUGACGGUACCCAAAGAAUAAGCACCGGCUAACUUCGUG